CCUACGGGAGGCAGCAGUGGGGAAUAUUGGACAAUGGGGGCAACCCUGAUCCAGCCAUGCCGCGUGUGUGAAGAAGGCCCUCGGGUUGUAAAGCACUUUCAGUGAGGAAGAACGCCUGGUGGUUAAUACCCAUCAGGAAAGACAUCACUCACAGAAGAAGCACCGGCUAACUCCGUGCCAGCAGCCGCGGUAAUACGGAGGGUGCGAGCGUUAAUCGGAUUUACUGGGCGUAAAGCGCGCGUAGGUGGCUUGAUAAGCCGGUUGUGAAAGCCCCGGGCUCAACCUGGGAACGGCAUCCGGAACUGUCAAGCUAGAGUGCAGGAGAGGAAGGUAGAAUUCCCGGUGUAGCGGUGAAAUGCGUAGAGAUCGGGAGGAAUACCAGUGGCGAAGGCGGCCUUCUGGACUGACACUGACACUGAGGUGCGAAAGCGUGGGUAGCAAACAGGAUUAGAUACCCUUGUAGUC
RNAcentral lists this ribosomal RNA (465 nucleotides) under Vreelandella stevensii. RNAcentral describes it as "partial 16S ribosomal RNA". It matches the Rfam family "Bacterial small subunit ribosomal RNA", at positions 338 to 795 of the family's 1533-position model. The record is from RNAcentral. Lineage: Bacteria; Pseudomonadati; Pseudomonadota; Gammaproteobacteria; Oceanospirillales; Halomonadaceae.